RNAcentral lists this ribosomal RNA (1053 nucleotides) under Trichoderma aestuarinum. Its description in RNAcentral is "partial large subunit ribosomal RNA". It matches the Rfam family "Eukaryotic large subunit ribosomal RNA", at positions 58 to 1141 of the family's 3401-position model. Lineage: Eukaryota; Fungi; Ascomycota; Sordariomycetes; Hypocreales; Hypocreaceae. The record is from RNAcentral.
AAAGAAACCAACAGGGAUUGCCCCAGUAACGGCGAGUGAAGCGGCAACAGCUCAAAUUUGAAAUCUGGCCCCUAGGGUCCGAGUUGUAAUUUGUAGAGGAUGCUUUUGGUGAGGUGCCGCCCGAGUUCCCUGGAACGGGACGCCGCAGAGGGUGAGAGCCCCGUCUGGCUGGACACCGAGCCUCUGUGAAGCUCCUUCGACGAGUCGAGUAGUUUGGGAAUGCUGCUCAAAAUGGGAGGUAUAUGUCUUCUAAAGCUAAAUAUUGGCCAGAGACCGAUAGCGCACAAGUAGAGUGAUCGAAAGAUGAAAAGCACCUUGAAAAGAGGGUUAAACAGUACGUGAAAUUGUUGAAAGGGAAGCGCUUGUGACCAGACUUGGGCGCGGCGGAUCAUCCGGGGUUCUCCCCGGUGCACUUCGCCGCGUUCAGGCCAGCAUCAGUUCGGCGCGGGGGAAAAAGGCUUCGGGAACGUGGCUCCUCCGGGAGUGUUAUAGCCCGUUGCAUAAUACCCUGCGCUGGACUGAGGACCGCGCAUCUGCAAGGAUGCUGGCGUAAUGGUCACCAGCGACCCGUCUUGAAACACGGACCAAGGAGUCGUCUUCGUAUGCGAGUGUUCGGGUGUCAAACCCCUACGCGUAAUGAAAGUGAACGCAGGUGAGAGCUUCGGCGCAUCAUCGACCGAUCCUGAUGUUCUCGGAUGGAUUUGAGUAAGAGCAUACGGGGCCGGACCCGAAAGAAGGUGAACUAUGCCUGUAUAGGGUGAAGCCAGAGGAAACUCUGGUGGAGGCUCGCAGCGGUUCUGACGUGCAAAUCGAUCGUCAAAUAUGGGCAUGGGGGCGAAAGACUAAUCGAACCUUCUAGUAGCUGGUUUCCGCCGAAGUUUCCCUCAGGAUAGCAGUGUUGAUCUCAGUUUUAUGAGGUAAAGCGAAUGAUUAGGGACUCGGGGGCGCUAUAUUGCCUUCAUCCAUUCUCAAACUUUAAAUAUGUAAGAAGCCCUUGUUGCUUAAUUGAACGUGGGCAUUCGAAUGUAUCAACACUAGUGGGCCAUUUUUGGU